GGUUCCUGAGCAAAAACAGUUCCACAGAAAUGUUUGCCUUUGCCUGAGGCUGGAAGAACCCAAACCACUUUUCCCAGCAAGCUCUUUACAGCAACAAGGUUAUAACAUGGAGACAUCAAUAUCCUUCCUGCCCCUGAACUUGGAUGCCACCUGCAUUCUCCAGUGUGAGGAGACAAGCCUAGUGGACAAGAAUAUUACCUCUCCCCAGAAACACCAGUGAGUCUAUACCAAGGAGGUGAGAACAAAACAACUUGAUUUCAAGAACAGUGAUGGACAAAAAUACCUCUAGGCUAAAAACCUUUGAUCAGACAAGUAGCAGGGGACCAGAC
Long non-coding RNA from Lagopus muta (rock ptarmigan), 329 nucleotides. RefSeq lists it as uncharacterized. Lineage: Eukaryota; Metazoa; Chordata; Aves; Galliformes; Phasianidae. The record is from RefSeq and is a predicted model, not a curated record. The transcript has 3 exons.